GUCUGUUUGAUUUUAUAUACAGUCUAGCCUGCCCACUGAUUAAUUUAAAGGCCGCGGUAUACUGACCGUGCGAAGGUAGCGUAAUAAUUAGUCUUUUAAUUGAAGACUAGAAUGAACGGCUGGACAAGAAGCAUACUGUCUUAAGCAUAAACAUUGAACUUAACUUUUAAGUGAAAAGGCUUAAAUAUUCUAGGGGGACGAUAAGACCCUAUAAAACUUUAUAUAUACAUAAAUAUAUUGUAAAUUAUUCGUGUAAAUCAAUAUAUCUACCUAUUUAUUUCGUUGGGGCGACGAAAGUAUUUUAAGUAACUACUUUAUUUUUCAACAAUUAUUUUUGACUUCUUUGAUCCUACCUAUAGAUUUUAAGAAAAAGUUACUUUAGGGAUAACAGCGUCAUUUUUUUUAAGAGUUCAUAUCAACAAAAAAGAUUGCGACCUCGAUGUUGAAUUAAAAUCUCCAUGUAAUGCAACAGUUACAAAGGAAGGUCUGUUCGACCUUUAAAAUUUUACAUGAUUUGAGUUCAAACCGGUGUAAG
Molecule: ribosomal RNA, 535 nt
Filed under: Dawsonius latispinus
Lineage: Eukaryota; Metazoa; Arthropoda; Malacostraca; Decapoda; Ctenochelidae
Description: partial 16S ribosomal RNA
Rfam family: Bacterial large subunit ribosomal RNA
Source: RNAcentral